CAGAAUAUAUGCAGUCAUGUCACAAGCAAUUAAAAAUGAAGCAAGCUUUCCAGUGAAGUCACCGCUCUGAUAAAUUUCAGUGAUAUGCAAUUCAAUGAUACGAUAAUUCCAAAAAUAAACGGUACAAAAAUGUAAUACAUCAAAAAAUUAGCAGCAAUCAUCCUCCUCAAGAUUGAAGCAGGCUGCAUAUGGUGGUAUAUUUUGAAAGUGUUGAAAACUAUUUGUAGCAAGAAGUGAAAUAUUUGAACAAUUUCCUGCAUAUACUUAAAGAACAUAAAGGAUAUGGCAAAUGAUAAACUCCAGAAAGAAAGUACAAUUAGUUUGAAGAUGGAACUCAUCUGAAGAAGUGCAAUCAAAGCAGCCAUGGCAGGCAGAAGGAGAUUAUUAUUAAUUAUUAUGCUGCAUUAUAGCUGUUUUACUUUAUCACACAGUAAAUUAUGAUAAUGGCAUUAAAUAAAAUAACACAACUGUUGUGUGGUAAUACUAA
Long non-coding RNA from Argiope bruennichi, 487 nucleotides. RefSeq lists it as uncharacterized. The record is from RefSeq and is a predicted model, not a curated record. NCBI's taxonomy places the organism in Eukaryota, Metazoa, Arthropoda, Arachnida, Araneae, Araneidae. The transcript is spliced from 3 exons.